This is a non-coding RNA of Salvia hispanica, 1358 nucleotides long. Lineage: Eukaryota; Viridiplantae; Streptophyta; Magnoliopsida; Lamiales; Lamiaceae. The record is from RefSeq and is a predicted model, not a curated record.
UCUCCUUGUAAAAUUCGGCUUGCCUUGUCUCGCAGGUCGUAUAUGAGAUAUGAGUCCGCCGAACUUGCAAAAGUUACGGCGAGGGUGUCCCACAGUGAUUUCGCCGUUUGGUGAUGCACGAAAUCCGCUAUGAGAUUGGUUUCCGUGUUGUCAAUAAUCCAAGAGAAGACUAUUAAGUCUAUCUCCUCUCAAUCGGUAUAUCCGAUUUCUUCCGGCUGUGGUGGAGGCGGAGCUCCAGAUAUAUGGCGGUAGACUCCUCGGCCGCCGAUGGUCACCUUCAUCAAUCGUGCCCAUAGUGAAUAGUUUGAGCCAUUCAAUUUGAAGGCUACGGUAACACUCUUACUUGAUCUGAUUUUUUCGACAACGGGUUCGAUUUCUAGUUUGUUUUCUGACAUUUUGGCUGGACUGAUCUCUCGCCGUUUUUGGUCGAGAAAGGUAUUUGCGGGCUAUGAUGAUAAUAUUCUGAACCUGCUCUGAUACCAUGUAGAAUUGUAUAAUUGUUUGAUAUAUUAUUCACAAUGAGAUGAUACAUCAUAUAUAGGCCAAGGGAGAACUAUACACGAAUAUUCUUUGAUCUCCAACAAAUCAAUGGUGUUAAAUCCAACAUUUGUGACAUGGCAAAGGCAAGAUAGAAGAGUAUGCCUUGACCUUGGUGGUAGGGCUCAGAUCUGCAAGAGAUAUCUGGACAACACUGGAGACCAACUUUGCAAGCCGCUCAACGGCCAAGAAUCUCAUAAGGAGAACAAGUGCUACACAUCUUGGGAGAUCUGGGUCAAGAGUAUGAUCCAGUGACCUCAAGGUCAGAUCCAUGGAGCAUUGGAGAUGUCAGUGCCUUUCUGCUAAGUUUUGAGUCUAGAAUGGAAUCAACUAGAGCUCACUCCAUCAGCUCAGAUAGCAGCCAUCACUCAAUCUAGUUUUUCGGACAGAAAAUGGAUCAGCAAAACUUUGGCAACAACAAGUUUGAGCAUGGAGGUGGAAGUGGCUUUAGAGGAAGAAACCAAAGAGGUGACCGUGGUGUAAGAAGCUUUGGUAGAGGAGGCAACAAAAUUUUUUGCCAGUUGUGUCAGAAACCUGCCAUUCUGCAGCUAAGUACUGGCACAGGUUCGAGCAGAACUACACACCAGCUCAGUUCAGUUUAGAGAAAAUUCUCCACCACAACAACAGCAACAACAGAGCUUCUUUAAUCCUUCAGCUCACCUGAUUCAAUCUGUUCCAAGAUCCCCUUUAGGUUCUUUCUCUGUUGCACCAUCAGAGUUCAACUAUAGACCAAAUGCCUCUUCAAGUUGGUAUCCAGAUUCAGGAGCCACUCAUCAUGUAUCAAAUGAUUUGAGCAACCUCUACAAAGCUUAGAGUAUACA